AGUGAACGCUGGCGGUAGGCCUAACACAUGCCAGUCGAACGGCAGCACAGUAAGAGCUUCCCUUUAGGGGGGGCGGGGGGGGGCGGGGUGGGGAAAACACGGGAUCUUCUUUUUCGGGGGGGGUUACGGAGGGGAACUUACCCUAAUAACCGCAUAGAACCACGGGGUGAAACAAGGGGACUUUGGACCUUUGCGCGUUUGAUUGAGCCGAUGUCGGAUUAGCUAGUUGGCGGGGUAAAGGCCCACCAAGGCGACGAUCCGUAGCUGGUCUGAGAGGAUGAUCAGCCACACUGGAACUGAGACACGGUCCAGACUCCUACGGGAGGCAGCAGUGGGGAAUAUUGGACAAUGGGCGCAAGCCUGAUCCAGCCAUACCGCGUGGGUGAAGAAGGCCUUCGGGUUGUAAAGCCCUUAUGUUGGGAAAGAAAAGCAGCAGGUUAAUACCCCGCUGUUCUGACGGUACCCAAAGAAUAAGCACCGGCUAACUUCGUG
Molecule: ribosomal RNA, 492 nt
Filed under: uncultured bacterium
Lineage: Bacteria
Description: partial 16S ribosomal RNA
Rfam family: Bacterial small subunit ribosomal RNA
Source: RNAcentral